UGAGGAAUAUUGGGCAAUGGACGGAAGUCUGACCCAGCCAUGCCGCGUGAAGGAUGAAGGCGUUCUGCGUUGUAAACUUCUUUUACCUGGGAAGAAACCACCAUUUUCUAAUGGUGUUGACGGUACCAGGGGAAUAAGCACCGGCUAACUCCGUGCCAGCAGCCGCGGUAAUACGGAGGGUGCAAGCGUUAUCCGGAUUUACUGGGUUUAAAGGGUGUGUAGGCGGACUUUUAAGUCUGGGGUGAAAUCUCCGAGCUCAACUCGGAAACUGCCUUGGAUACUAUUAGCCUUGAAUUAUGUUGAGGUUGGCGGAAUAUAACAUGUAGCGGUGAAAUGCAUAGAUAUGUUAUAGAACACCGAUUGCGAAGGCAGCUAACUAAGCAUAUAUUGACGCUGAGGCACGAAAGCGUGGGGAUCAAACAGGAUUAGAUACCCCCGUAGUCC
RNAcentral lists this ribosomal RNA (444 nucleotides) under uncultured bacterium. Its description in RNAcentral is "bacterial SSU rRNA". It matches the Rfam family "Bacterial small subunit ribosomal RNA", at positions 355 to 796 of the family's 1533-position model. The record is from RNAcentral.